UUUGCUAUAUUAUCUAAGAGUAUGCAAUGAGGAUAUGACUUCCAAGAUUUAGGUCUUUACUUGGCCUAGUUGAAGUGAUCUUCUGUAGUUGCACUAGAAAAAGUAAGGAGAAAACCUUUUCAGUUGUAGCGAUCUACCUAGGCUCUCUCAAAAGGAAGACUCUUGCACUUUAAUUGCACACAGAGAAGGUCAAGUUAUAAUUCACUUUAAUCCAAUCUACAUUGGUCAUUGUUGUAUGCUCAUUGUGCAACUUCUAAUCUGAUGCCAUUUUUUUCCUAUUGUCAUAGGCAUUGAGAGUCUACAAUCACAAUAGCGAGUCCAUGGAAAUAUACAUGAGGUUGAGAGUGAUAGAUUUUCUCGAGGCCUAGAGCUUUUCAAGAAUCUGCAUGAAGAUGAUUCCUGGCAGACUAUAGGGAUUCUCGUGCAUGAGGUAAAGAAAAGAGAUAUGGAUAAGCCAAUACAUGGGAAAGUUACUGGUUGGAUUUUAAGUCAAGAAACAGAAUUUGUAUCUAUUCAGAUGACUAAUGCUGCUAAUGAGGCUUGUCAGCCCUUUUAAUGAAACAUAACCUGGUCUCCUCAAGAAGCUUUCAUCUGUUGAACGAUUGUAAGUUGGCACAUCUGAAAAGCUUGAGUUGUAAACCUCCUACCAAUUCAUCCGAAGCCUCCCUAUACAAUGCAUAUCUUCUGAUCUAAAGGGAAAGUGUUGCAACAUGAGCAGCUGCCCAACAUUGAAUGGUGCAAGCAUUACCAGAUUCCCUACUUUGAGACUGAUCAUAUUUUGUUAGAAAAUUCUUGUCUACGCCUAUAUUUAAGGAUGUUUCAGUGCAGUAUAUUCCAACCAUUAUGCUGUCUUUAGUUGUGCAUAUUGAAUCUCAUGAUGCUAUGCAUUUUUUUGACAUUUUGAGGAAGAGUUCCUUAUUGCUAGGUGUAAAAGCCAAUGACUAUUACAGCAUCACACAUUCCUUAUUGCUAGAUGUAAAAGUCAAUGAGUAUUACAACAUAACACAU
This is a long non-coding RNA of Coffea eugenioides, 1008 nucleotides long. RefSeq lists it as uncharacterized. The transcript has 3 exons. NCBI's taxonomy places the organism in Eukaryota, Viridiplantae, Streptophyta, Magnoliopsida, Gentianales, Rubiaceae. The record is from RefSeq and is a predicted model, not a curated record.